GAAAUGCGAUAAGUAAUGUGAAUUGCAGAAUUCAGUGAAUCAUCGAAUCUUUGAACGCCCCUUGCGCUCCUUGGUAUUCCUUGGAGCAUGCCUGUUUGAGUAUCAUGAAAUCUUCAAAGUAAAUCUUUUGUUAACUCAAUUGGUUUCUACUUUGGUAUUGGAGGUCUUUGCAGCUUCACACCUGCUCCUCUUUGUUCAUUAGCUGGAUCUCAGUGUUAUGCUUGGUUCCACUCGGCGUGAUAAGUUAUCUAUCGCUGAGGACACUGUAAAAGGUGGCCAAGGUAAAUGCAGAUGAACCGCUUCUAAUAGUCCAUUGACUUGGACAAUACUUUUAUGAUCUGAUCUCAAAUCAGGUAGAACUACCCGCUGAACUUAAGC
This 378-nucleotide unclassified non-coding RNA is filed under the name plant metagenome. RNAcentral's name for it is "partial contains 5.8S ribosomal RNA, internal transcribed spacer 2, and large subunit ribosomal RNA". The stretch from base 1 to 105 matches the Rfam family "5.8S ribosomal RNA", at positions 50 to 154 of the family's 154-position model. The record is from RNAcentral.